GUGAAGAAGCCCCACCGCUUCCGCCCGGGGACCGUCGCGCUCCGGGAGAUCCGCAAGUACCAGAAGAGCACGGAGCUGCUCAUCCGCAAGCUCCCCUUCCAGCGCCUCGUCCGCGAGAUCGCGCAGGACUUCAAGACCGACCUGAGGUUCCAGAGCUCCGCCGUCUCCGCCCUGCAGGAGGCCGCCGAGGCGUACCUGGUCGGGCUGUUCGAGGACACCAACCUGUGCGCCAUCCACGCCAAGCGCGUCACCAUCAUGCCCAAGGACAUCCAGCUCGCCCGCCGCAUCCGCGGGGAGCGCGCCUAG
RNAcentral lists this ribosomal RNA (306 nucleotides) under Triticum aestivum (bread wheat). RNAcentral's name for it is "partial small subunit ribosomal RNA". The record is from RNAcentral. Lineage: Eukaryota; Viridiplantae; Streptophyta; Magnoliopsida; Poales; Poaceae.